CCGUCUUGAAACACGGACCAAGGAGUCUAACAUGUGCGCGAGUCAUUGGGUCAGACUAAACCUAAAGGCGCAAUGAAAGUGAAGGCAGCCUCGGGUUUGUCUAGGUAGGAUCCUCUUCCAAGAGGAGGCGCACUACCGGCCCGUCUCGUCCGCGUUGCGGUGAGGCGGAGCGAGAGCGUACACGUUGGGACCCGAAAGAUGGUGAACUAUGCCUGAGUAGGACGAAGCCAGAGGAAACUCUGGUGGAAGUCCGUAGCGAUUCUGACGUGCAAAUCGAUCGUCGAACUUGGGUAUAGGGGCGAAAGACUAAUCGAACCGUCUAGUAGCUGGUUCCUUCCGAA
Molecule: ribosomal RNA, 341 nt
Filed under: Mopalia muscosa
Lineage: Eukaryota; Metazoa; Mollusca; Polyplacophora; Chitonida; Mopaliidae
Description: eukaryotic LSU rRNA
Rfam family: Eukaryotic large subunit ribosomal RNA
Source: RNAcentral